UUGCAGCAGAAGACCUUAGCCUGAG
RNAcentral lists this unclassified non-coding RNA (25 nucleotides) under Mus musculus (house mouse). RNAcentral's name for it is "oocyte_clustered_small_RNA6944". Lineage: Eukaryota; Metazoa; Chordata; Mammalia; Rodentia; Muridae. The record is from RNAcentral.